UACGGGGGGGGCAAGCGUUGUUCGGAUUCAUUGGGCGUAAAGGGUGCGUAGGUGGCGCGCUAAGUCAGGUGUGAAAUUUCGGAGCUUAACUCCGAAACUGCAUUUGAUACUGGCGUGCUUGAGGACUGGAGAGGAGACUGGAAUUUACGGUGUAGCAGUGAAAUGCGUAGAGAUCGUAAGGAAGACCAGUGGCGAAGGCGGGUCUCUGGACAGUUCCUGACACUGAGGCACGAAGGCCAGGGGAGCAAACGGG
RNAcentral lists this ribosomal RNA (253 nucleotides) under uncultured bacterium. Its description in RNAcentral is "partial 16S ribosomal RNA". It matches the Rfam family "Bacterial small subunit ribosomal RNA", at positions 524 to 776 of the family's 1533-position model. The record is from RNAcentral.